RNAcentral lists this ribosomal RNA (465 nucleotides) under uncultured bacterium. RNAcentral's name for it is "partial 16S ribosomal RNA". It matches the Rfam family "Bacterial small subunit ribosomal RNA", at positions 28 to 507 of the family's 1533-position model. The record is from RNAcentral.
GACGAACGCUGGCGGCGUGCUUAACACAUGCAAGUCGUACGGUAAGGCCCUUUCGGGGGUACACGAGUGGCGAACGGGUGAGUAACACGUGAGUAACCUGCCCACAACUUUGGGAUAACGCUAGGAAACUGGUGCUAAUACUGGAUAUGUGCUCCUGCUGCAUGGUGGGGGUUGGAAAGCUCCGGCGGUUGUGGAUGGACUCGCGGCCUAUCAGCUUGUUGGUGGGGUAGUGGCCUACCAAGGCGGCGACGGGUAGCCGGCCUGAGAGGGUGACCGGCCACAUUGGGACUGAGAUACGGCCCAGACUCCUACGGGAGGCAGCAGUGGGGAAUAUUGCACAAUGGGCGCAAGCCUUAUGCAGCAACGCCGCGUGCGGGAUGACGGCCUUCGGGUUGUAAACCGCUUUCAGCAGGGACGAAGCUUUUUGUGACGGUACCUGCACAAGAAGCACCGGCUAACUACGUG